CUAUUAUUGUUGUAGAUGAUUGAAUACUGCUGUUAUUACUUUGACUGCUGUAUGUAAUCUGACAUGUUGACUGUGUCUGUGCUGACAGGAGGAUGGCCCGAGUUUGAGAUCCACAGGACUCAGCUCUGAAUGUGCAGAUGUCGAUGGUAGCAGUGAGCCUGAACAUGAGGAGGAGGCAAAAAGUCGCCAUAUGCUUUAUAUACAGAAGCUCAAAUCACACCAUGACAUGUGUGAAAAGCGCUACGAGGCGGCACAGGCAGAGAGGCAAAAGGAGGAGAGGAAGAGGACCUUGGUUCUACAUCGUCAGCAGGAUACAGCACCGGACAGAGAAGCUCUCGGGUUGGUGUCAGAGGAAUCAAGUUUUGAAUUUAGUGAGGAUGACUAUGUCCCUGAAUGUGGAGUAACCAGCAGUGAUAGCUCACUUGAUGUCAAACUUGGAAGGAAGAGAAAAGUGCAAAAACACAUUCAGAUCAGAAAGUAUCUGUCCUACUCAAGAAAACGCAUCUCCUGCCUGCAAA
This is a long non-coding RNA of Epinephelus fuscoguttatus (brown-marbled grouper), 518 nucleotides long. RefSeq lists it as uncharacterized. The transcript has 4 exons. The record is from RefSeq and is a predicted model, not a curated record. NCBI's taxonomy places the organism in Eukaryota, Metazoa, Chordata, Actinopteri, Perciformes, Serranidae.